Molecule: ribosomal RNA, 524 nt
Filed under: Abdopus aculeatus
Lineage: Eukaryota; Metazoa; Mollusca; Cephalopoda; Octopoda; Octopodidae
Description: partial 16S ribosomal RNA
Rfam family: Bacterial large subunit ribosomal RNA
Source: RNAcentral
GAGAGUCUCUUUGAUUAUAUUUAAUAAAGAGUCGGGCCUGCUCGGUGAUUGAUAUUUAACAGCUGCGGUAUUAUAACUGUACUAAGGUAGCAUAAUAAUUUGCUCUAUAAAUUAGGGCUAGAAUGAAUGGUUUGACGAAAAUUAAACUGUCUCUAUUUUAUUUAUUAGAAAUUAAUUAUUAUAGUGAGAAAGCUUAAAUAAUUUAAAGGGACGAGAAGACCCUAUUGAGCUUAUAUUAGGUUGAUGAAUGAUAUGAAGUGAAUAAUAUUUGUUUAGGUAAUUUUGAUUGGGGUGAUCAAGGAAUAAAAGUAAAGUUAUGUAGUGUGUUAACUUCCUUAAGUGGUUAUAUUGAUAAAUGAAUAAACCGAAUUUUUUGCUUAUAAGAUAAGUUACCAUAGGGAUAACAGCGUAAUUUUUUUUGAGAGUUCAUAUUGAAAAAAGAGAUUGCGACCUCGAUGUUGGAUUAAAAUAACCUUAAGGUGUAGAGGCUUUAUUAGGUGAAUCUGUUCGAUUUUUAAAAUUUU